AUGAUAAAGAUGCAGUACCUUUCUCUUAAAAAAAAAAUGGUAUGGAAAGCUGUGAGAAUUGAAGAGACAAAUUGGCUGUGUCAGUGUGGGGUUAUGUCAUGAUUUCUAGAAGCCCUGAAGUUGCUCUUUUCAGCAGCUUUGCGUGACAAGCUCUAGUAAAAGGUGUGCAUCUUUAAAUUAUUUCAUGAAUACUUUAAAAAAUAUUGUAUCAUUUCAAAUACAGCAAUAAGUUUAUAUGUUCUCAAGAUUUCAUUUGUUUUUAAGAAUUUAAAGUUCAUGGAUUAAUAUCACUACUUUUGAAUACUGAAAGUUGUUGAUUAGACACCGAAAGGUUACUGAUUGUGGAGUGUAUCUGUGUUAGAGCUGUGCACUGGCACGCUUGCAUCAGGGGGUGCUGCCACACGGCCGCCACACAGAUUCCCCUAUGAUGCCUGGAGCUGCUUCCAGAGCCAGGUGCCUCCAAGAGGCACCUGUAGGACUUCCCAUUUAGAAAUCACUGAGUGGGUUUGUAUGUUACCUUCUCUAAGGUUUAUUUAGGACAGAGAUAUUGCGGGAGGGUCGUGGGUCAGAUUCCAACACGACCCACCUUGUCUGCGGGUGCAGCCCCACUCCAAGGCUCACCGUUAUUGGGGUAUGUGAGGAGCAGUAAAUAUAAAACCAGUUCACCUGUCCUCAUGGAAUUACCCUUUCUGUUUUUGCAGUGUUCAUAAAGCUAGUAUAAGGUUUGAUUUUAGUCUAUUAAAUCUUAGAGAUCUAAAGGAAAUGCUCAAAAUGUAGCCAGGUUUUAAAUGCUUUAACUUUUAAAAAAUGUAAAUUUUUGUAUAUUUAUAGCUUCUAAAUAUGAAAGUUAAUGUACUGUGAUGAAAUGUUCAGUAUUGUGUUGCUUCUCAGUAUUGUGUUGCUUCUCAGUAUUGUGUUGCUUCUGAUUCUAUGAAUGUUCAUUUUAAGACUCCUUUUUGAAAUGGGACAGUUGGCAGCGGCUCUGGUGAGCCCGAGAAGAGGCCUGCCCUUGGGUGCGGAGCCUCCCUCCGCACGAUGCUCCCACGCGUCCAACUUGCACCCAAGGGGCUUUUCCCUCUUCCAAGUGGACUCCUUCAAGGAAGCUGCAGCUCGGUCAGCAGAGAAGGGGCCUGCCGCCAGCGCCCUGGAGGAAGAGGAAGAGGAACCCAAGAGGAUGGCUUGUCUCCCAGCAGCCACACCGGCUUUGUGCUCAGCCAGUUCAUUUGAGUUUGCAUGUUUCUCUGCACUAUGGAUUUUGAGCAUUUAGAUUUCUUUAAUCAAAAGCGUUUUAGUGACUCCAGUAGACAUUUUCUUUCUGAGGCAUCGUGCUUUGCAUGAGAGCAGGUCAAGGUUGAGGGGAAAAGUAAAGUUAAAGUCGGUUCUCUUUCAUAGCAACACGUAUUGUCUGACAUUCAGCCAGCUUUUUUUUUUUUUCUAAUAAUUUCUGUGCCUUCCUGUCCUGUAUUUAGAAAAAGCAGCUAGAAUAUUUCUCCAUUAACUCUUGAGAUUCACAGGACUGUCUAGCUCUGAGUCCUAGCAAUAGACUCCUUAGAGGAGUAGUAAAUUUAUCUAGACUUUCUCUAGAUAAUGCAGGCGGAAGACCUGUGUUCCCGGGGUGGGGCAUUGCAGUUUUUCCUGUGUUUGGUUUCCAGGAAUUACAUGAACGACAGCCUUCGCACCGACGUCUUCGUGCGGUUCCAGCCAGAGAGCAUCGCCUGUGCCUGCAUUUAUCUUGCUGCCCGGACGCUGGAGAUCCCUUUGCCCAAUCGUCCCCAUUGGUUUCUUUUGUUUGGAGCAACUGAAGAAGAAAUUCAGGAAAUCUGCUUAAAGAUCUUGCAGCUUUAUGCUCGGAAAAAGGUUGAUCUCACACACCUGGAGGGUGAAGUGGAAAAGAGAAAGCACGCUAUCGAAGAGGCAAAGGCCCAAGCCCGGGGCCUGCUGCCUGGGGGCACACAGGUGCUGGAUGGUACCUCGGGGUUCUCUCCUGUCCCUAAGCUGGUGGAAUCCCCCAAAGAAGGUAAAGGGAGCAAGCCUUCCCCACUGUCUGUGAAGAACACCAAGAGGAGGCUGGAGGGCGCCAAGAAAGCCAAGGCGGACAGCCCCGUGAACGGCUUGCCAAAGGGGCGAGAGAGUCGAAGUCGGAGCCGGAGCCGUGAACAGAGCUACUCAAGGUCCCCAUCCCGAUCAGCGUCUCCUAAGAGGAGGAAAAGUGACAGCGGCUCCACAUCUGGUGGGUCCAAGUCGCAGAGCCGCUCCCGGAGCCGGAGUGACUCCCCACCGAGACAGGCCCCCCGCAGCGCUCCCUACAAAGGCUCUGAGAUUCGGGGCUCCCGGAAGUCCAAGGACUGCAAGUACCCCCAGAAGCCACACAAGUCUCGGAGCCGGAGUUCUACCCGUUCUCGAAGCAGGUCACGGGAGCGUGUGGAUAAUCCGGGAAAAUACAAGAAGAAAAGUCAUUACUACAGAGAUCAGCGACGGGAGCGCUCGAGGUCAUAUGAACGCACAGGCCGUCGCUAUGAGCGGGACCACCCUGGGCACAGCAGGCAUCGGAGGUGAGGCGGGGUUGCAGUGACUGGCGGCCGCAGGCCCUUCCCUGGGGGGUACCUGAUGGCUGCCCUUUGACCCCUGGGUGUGCUCUCUCAGCGCAAGUGGCCCUAGAGCAGGAUUCUUUUUGGAAAUGUCUGUCGACUGGACCUUGGUGGAUUUGGAAAUGGAACUGAGGGACCGGUGACACGUGCUUCAGACCGGUCUGGGGUGUGGCGCACACCUGGGCCCGUGCAGGGCCCAGCUCGGCAGCAGCUCUGAGGGCAGCUCAAUGAAAUAGUGAAUGCACACGCCCUUGUUGGUGUGGCCUGGCAUGGCCUGGCGUGGCCUGGUGCUAUCGGCAGCCGCUCUCCACUCCCUGACUGAUACUCAAUUACGUGAAGCCAAGAAAGACGAUUUUUAGAACCUUUGCCUAUAUUAGGUUGUACUUAUGUACAUAUUUUGCAGUGUUUCACAGGAGAAAAUGGCCUUAAUUGCCCCUUAUUCUCUCUCCACGUUGUAAAUAAACAUGUGUUUAAUAC
This 3065-nucleotide small RNA is filed under the name Pongo abelii (Sumatran orangutan). Its description in RNAcentral is "retained intron". The record is from RNAcentral. Lineage: Eukaryota; Metazoa; Chordata; Mammalia; Primates; Hominidae.